AAACAAAAAGUAAAUUUUACGAUUAGUUACGACCUAUUUAUUUGUCUUUUGACUUUGUUUG
This 61-nucleotide transfer RNA is filed under the name Parasacculina shiinoi. Its description in RNAcentral is "tRNA-Arg". The record is from RNAcentral. Lineage: Eukaryota; Metazoa; Arthropoda; Thecostraca; Polyascidae.